GUGGGGAAUUUUGGACAAUGGGCGCAAGCCUGAUCCAGCAAUGCCGCGUGCAGGAAGAAGGCCUUCGGGUUGUAAACUGCUUUUGUACGGAACGAAAAGGCUCUGGUUAAUACCUGGGGCUCAUGACGGUACCGUAAGAAUAAGCACCGGCUAACUACGUGCCAGCAGCCGCGGUAAUACGUAGGGUGCAAGCGUUAAUCGGAAUUACUGGGCGUAAAGCGUGCGCAGGCGGUUUUGUAAGACAGACGUGAAAUCCCCGGGCUCAACCUGGGAAUGGCGUUUGUGACUGCAAAGCUGGAGUGCGGCAGAGGGGGAUGGAAUUCCGCGUGUAGCAGUGAAAUGCGUAGAUAUGCGGAGGAACACCGAUGGCGAAGGCAAUCCCCUGGGCCUGCACUGACGCUCAUGCACGAAAGCGUGGGGAGCAAACAGGAUUAGAAACCCGUGUAGUCC
RNAcentral lists this ribosomal RNA (450 nucleotides) under uncultured bacterium. RNAcentral describes it as "bacterial SSU rRNA". It matches the Rfam family "Bacterial small subunit ribosomal RNA", at positions 354 to 796 of the family's 1533-position model. The record is from RNAcentral.